UUAAGCGACUAAGCGUACACGGUGGAUGCCCUGGCAGUCAGAGGCGAUGAAGGACGUGCUAAUCUGCGAUAAGCGUCGGUGAGGUGAUAUGAACCGUUAUAACCGGCGAUUUCCGAAUGGGGAAACCCAGUGUGUUUCGACACACUAUCAUUAACUGAAUCCAUAGGUUAAUGAGGCGAACCGGGGGAACUGAAACAUCUAAGUACCCCGAGGAAAAGAAAUCAACCGAGAUUCCCCCAGUAGCGGCGAGCGAACGGGGAGGAGCCCAGAGCCUGAAUCAGUGUGUGUGUUAGUGGAAGCGUCUGGAAAGGCGUGCGAUACAGGGUGACAGCCCCGUACACAAAAAUGCACAUAUUGUGAGCUCGAUGAGUAGGGCGGGACACGUGGUAUCCUGUCUGAAUAUGGGGGGACCAUCCUCCAAGGCUAAAUACUCCUGACUGACCGAUAGUGAACCAGUACCGUGAGGGAAAGGCGAAAAGAACCCCGGCGAGGGGAGUGAAAAAGAACCUGAAACCGUGUACGUACAAGCAGUGGGAGCCUCUUAAUGGGGUGACUGCGUACCUUUUGUAUAAUGGGUCAGCGACUUAUAUUCUGUAGCAAGGUUAACCGAAUAGGGGAGCCGAAGGGAAACCGAGUCUUAACUGGGCGUUAAGUUGCAGGGUAUAGACCCGAAACCCGGUGAUCUAGCCAUGGGCAGGUUGAAGGUUGGGUAACACUAACUGGAGGACCGAACCGACUAAUGUUGAAAAAUUAGCGGAUGACUUGUGGCUGGGGGUGAAAGGCCAAUCAAACCGGGAGAUAGCUGGUUCUCCCCGAAAGCUAUUUAGGUAGCGCCUCGUGAAUUCAUCUCCGGGGGUAGAGCACUGUUUCGGCAAGGGGGUCAUCCCGACUUACCAACCCGAUGCAAACUGCGAAUACCGGAGAAUGUUAUCACGGGAGACACACGGCGGGUGCUAACGUCCGUCGUGAAGAGGGAAACAACCCAGACCGCCAGCUAAGGUCCCAAAGUCAUGGUUAAGUGGGAAACGAUGUGGGAAGGCCCAGACAGCCAGGAUGUUGGCUUAGAAGCAGCCAUCAUUUAAAGAAAGCGUAAUAGCUCACUGGUCGAGUCGGCCUGCGCGGAAGAUGUAACGGGGCUAAACCAUGCACCGAAGCUGCGGCAGCGACACUAUGUGUUGUUGGGUAGGGGAGCGUUCUGUAAGCCUGUGAAGGUGGCCUGUGAGGGUUGCUGGAGGUAUCAGAAGUGCGAAUGCUGACAUAAGUAACGAUAAAGCGGGUGAAAAGCCCGCUCGCCGGAAGACCAAGGGUUCCUGUCCAACGUUAAUCGGGGCAGGGUGAGUCGACCCCUAAGGCGAGGCCGAAAGGCGUAGUCGAUGGGAAACAGGUUAAUAUUCCUGUACUUGGUGUUACUGCGAAGGGGGGACGGAGAAGGCUAUGUUGGCCGGGCGACGGUUGUCCCGGUUUAAGCGUGUAGGCUGGUUUUCCAGGCAAAUCCGGAAAACCAAGGCUGAGGCGUGAUGACGAGGCACUACGGUGCUGAAGCGACAAAUGCCCUGCUUCCAGGAAAAGCCUCUAAGCAUCAGGUAACAUCAAAUCGUACCCCAAACCGACACAGGUGGUCAGGUAGAGAAUACCAAGGCGCUUGAGAGAACUCGGGUGAAGGAACUAGGCAAAAUGGUGCCGUAACUUCGGGAGAAGGCACGCUGAUAUGUAGGUGAAGCGACUUGCUCGUGGAGCUGAAAUCAGUCGAAGAUACCAGCUGGCUGCAACUGUUUAUUAAAAACACAGCACUGUGCAAACACGAAAGUGGACGUAUACGGUGUGACGCCUGCCCGGUGCCGGAAGGUUAAUUGAUGGGGUUAGCGGUAACGCGAAGCUCUUGAUCGAAGCCCCGGUAAACGGCGGCCGUAACUAUAACGGUCCUAAGGUAGCGAAAUUCCUUGUCGGGUAAGUUCCGACCUGCACGAAUGGCGUAAUGAUGGCCAGGCUGUCUCCACCCGAGACUCAGUGAAAUUGAACUCGCUGUGAAGAUGCAGUGUACCCGCGGCAAGACGGAAAGACCCCGUGAACCUUUACUAUAGCUUGACACUGAACAUUGAGCCUUGAUGUGUAGGAUAGGUGGGAGGCUUUGAAGUGUGGACGCCAGUCUGCAUGGAGCCGACCUUGAAAUACCACCCUUUAAUGUUUGAUGUUCUAACGUUGGCCCGUAAUCCGGGUUGCGGACAGUGUCUGGUGGGUAGUUUGACUGGGGCGGUCUCCUCCUAAAGAGUAACGGAGGAGCACGAAGGUUGGCUAAUCCUGGUCGGACAUCAGGAGGUUAGUGCAAUGGCAUAAGCCAGCUUGACUGCGAGCGUGACGGCGCGAGCAGGUGCGAAAGCAGGUCAUAGUGAUCCGGUGGUUCUGAAUGGAAGGGCCAUCGCUCAACGGAUAAAAGGUACUCCGGGGAUAACAGGCUGAUACCGCCCAAGAGUUCAUAUCGACGGCGGUGUUUGGCACCUCGAUGUCGGCUCAUCACAUCCUGGGGCUGAAGUAGGUCCCAAGGGUAUGGCUGUUCGCCAUUUAAAGUGGUACGCGAGCUGGGUUUAGAACGUCGUGAGACAGUUCGGUCCCUAUCUGCCGUGGGCGCUGGAGAACUGAGGGGGGCUGCUCCUAGUACGAGAGGACCGGAGUGGACGCAUCACUGGUGUUCGGGUUGUCAUGCCAAUGGCACUGCCCGGUAGCUAAAUGCGGAAGAGAUAAGUGCUGAAAGCAUCUAAGCACGAAACUUGCCCCGAGAUGAGUUCUCCCUGACUCCUUGAGGGUCCUGAAGGAACGUUGAAGACGACGACGUUGAUAGGCCGGGUGUGUAAGCGCAGCGAUGCGUUGAGCUAACCGGUACUAAUGAACCGUGAGGCUUAAC
RNAcentral lists this ribosomal RNA (2899 nucleotides) under Escherichia coli HVH 156 (4-3206505). RNAcentral's name for it is "bacterial LSU rRNA". It matches the Rfam family "Bacterial large subunit ribosomal RNA". Lineage: Bacteria; Pseudomonadati; Pseudomonadota; Gammaproteobacteria; Enterobacterales; Enterobacteriaceae. The record is from RNAcentral.